CCUCCCCGGCCACGCGAGCGGGAACAGUCUCCUCCACUCGGAGCGGCGCCAUCUUCAGCUCUGAGUCACCAGGGCUGGAAAAAUACUAGAUGCGCUACUCGUGGACUCGUGAAUACACUCGUGAAUACAGGCCAUUUCCUGUACCUACAGCCACCCGCUCCACUCAUCAUGCCUUACCUGGAUGAUGCAGAAGUCCCUGGAAACAGAAGGUCUCACCCUUCUUUAUCUUUCUCAUGGCUUUCCAAGGCUCUUUAUCAUGUUACUUUCCUGCUCAGAAUUCUUUAAUGACUUGCCUCAAUGACCAGAUACAUGUGAUCUACAGUCAGCCUUCCAGCCUCAUCAUUCCUCUUCCAUUUCCUCCCCAGAAACACUGUACUUUAUGAAGCUCCUCCAAGACUGCUCUCUCAGCAGCUGGGACCCGGUCUUGGAAUCUUAGUGUCAACUAUGAUGAAUCACCAACACUAACAAAAACAUUAUCUUUUAUUGGGUUAAAUAGUUUCUACUCUUCCCAAGACUGGGAACUGAUGUAACAGGCUUCGUGCUUUCUUCCCAACAAAUUGAUUCUGUGUGGUCAGCUCCUGUCAUGAUGAUAGAACCCCCUGUAUUGAUUUAUACUUAGGGGUAUAUCAAUGUCAGUCUAAACUUGUCCUACCUA
RNAcentral lists this long non-coding RNA (655 nucleotides) under Homo sapiens (human). Its description in RNAcentral is "AHI1 divergent transcript". Lineage: Eukaryota; Metazoa; Chordata; Mammalia; Primates; Hominidae. The record is from RNAcentral.